UGGGGAAUAUUGGACAAUGGGCGAAAGCCUGAUCCAGCGACGCCGCGUGAGUGAUGAAGGCCUUAGGGUUGUAAAGCUCUUUUAGUGGAGAAGAUAAUGACGGUAUCCACAGAAAAAGCCCCGGCUAACUUCGUGCCAGCAGCCGCGGUAAUACGAAGGGGGCUAGCGUUACUCGGAAUUAUUGGGCGUAAAGCGUGCGUAGGCGGUUACAUAAGUUGGGAGUGAAAGCCCAAGGCUCAACCUUGGAAUUGCUUUCAAAACUAUGUAACUUGAGUAUUGGAGAGGAUAGUGGAAUUCCUAGUGUAGAGGUGAAAUUCGUAGAUAUUAGGAGGAACACCAGAUGCGAAAGCGGCUAUCUGGCCAAAUACUGACGCUGUUGCACGAAAGCGUGGGGAGCAAA
Molecule: ribosomal RNA, 400 nt
Filed under: uncultured bacterium
Lineage: Bacteria
Description: bacterial SSU rRNA
Rfam family: Bacterial small subunit ribosomal RNA
Source: RNAcentral